AUUUCCCCUUUCCCCUCCUCCUCCUUCCCCUCCCAUAUCUACGCCCUGAAACCGGGUUUGAUGCAGCACAUCAAACGAUGUUUCGCAAAAGGCAGGCGGGAACAACUCGGGUGAUUAGGAAACGACCUUAAUUUUUCUCCUGCAGGAGACGGAGGGAAGAGUUCUUGGCAGUAACUUUUAUAUGCAGAGACGCGACAACUUGCUUUCUGCCAAAGGAGAAGAGAAGCAGCUGCUUUUGUGUGCUGUUUAAUCUUUAGCUCCAGCGUCCCUCGAGAAAAGGAAGAAAGGAAGUUAUUUAGAACAAAAGUCUUGUCGUUUGGCUCCUGAGAAUUCAGAUGUUACAGUGCGAGGGAAACUGAAUACAGUUUUCCACUGGGGAGAGCCGGGGACAGCUCGAUCCCACCCCGCACUGCCCAACAACCGAGGAGCCUUGGAUUGGGAGCAAGCUCAAGUUUUGUGUUUCCCGUAGGAAUUCAUCACAUCCCAGCACAGAGGAACACGAUAUACCAGCCUGAAGUCAUCUGCUGUGGGUGGCACAUGCCCAGCAAGGAGGCACAAGUGAGCUGGCAGGGCAAGAUAGCCUGAAGCAAAGAUGACUGAAGGGACCCAAGCAGGAAAAGAGACACAAGCAACACCAGUGUAGGUAUGUCAUUGGACUGGACUGAACACGUUGCAACCUCAAACAGACCUUGCAGUGAACCAGCCCUGCAGAUACCUGUCACUAAUCUAAUAAACCCAAAUUUUACUGCCAGUUCAAUACCUUUGCUCACAGUUUGAUGAUAAAAGAGCUGGUAUUCAAAAAUGAAGGCCACUGAAUCGUGGCCCACAGGAACAUUUCUGGUGGUCAGCAGAGCUGGCAGAUGACCAGAACUGUUCUUUAUCUCAGCAUUACACUCUCCCCCAAGCAGCUGUAAUAAAUGCCAGAGAGAGGCUGAGCUGUCACUGAAAGGAAAGACAGAAAGAUGAAUUCAGGAAACACAUUCUAAAGAUAAGGUUCAUACUACAAGAGCUUGGUAAUCUCCAGCAUGGAUAAACACACAUUUUCCUGUACACACACAGCCCCUUCUUACUCAAGAUCUGGAGUUAACAAACUGUCUUGCACACCCAUUAAAGACCCAGCUACUGUUCAAGUACCAACACAGUAAAUG
Non-coding RNA from Cyanistes caeruleus (blue tit), 1148 nucleotides. NCBI's taxonomy places the organism in Eukaryota, Metazoa, Chordata, Aves, Passeriformes, Paridae. The record is from RefSeq and is a predicted model, not a curated record.